GCAUCUGUAGCUCAGUGGAUAGAGCGACCGCCUCCUAAGCGGUAGGCCGUGGGUUCGAUCCCCGCCAGGUGCA
This 73-nucleotide transfer RNA is filed under the name Clostridiales bacterium. RNAcentral's name for it is "tRNA-Arg". It matches the Rfam family "tRNA". Rfam says of the family: Transfer RNA (tRNA) molecules are approximately 80 nucleotides in length. Their secondary structure includes four short double-helical elements and three loops (D, anti-codon, and T loops). The record is from RNAcentral. Lineage: Bacteria; Bacillati; Bacillota; Clostridia; Eubacteriales.